AAAAGAACGCAAUCGUAUUUCAAAUGAAUAAUCACACUGAAAAGGGGGAAGAGAAAUCCAAAUAGUUUAUACAUAUGCAUCAGACCAUAUUCCAUUAGACUUAGGUAGGGUGUGAGUCGGGGAGGACUUAAAUACUAAACCCUUUUUACUGGCUUUGUUUUUGUAGCAGCAUGGACGCAGAAGAAUUCUGAAAUGAUUUUAGAUAUUUCACAGUAUUGAGCAAAUCAGUAAAUACAUCGAUGUUGUUGUGAGCCAGGGUUCUCACUGUGGAGAAAAAAAGUUGUAAAUAUAGAAAGAGAGAAGACAUGGAUGUAAGAAGAAUGGAUUGCAAUUGGAGGUAUUGCUGUGGACUCAUAACUUCUGAAAUGUGUGCAGGCUGCCAUGCUGUGAAGAGCCCUAUGGGGAGGACCAUUUGGUGAAGAUCUGAGAGAAACUCCCGGUCAACAGCCAGUGAAGCACUGAAUCCUGCCAACAACCAUGUGAGAGCCAGAAAGUGGAUCCUCCCCACAUUGAGCCUUCAGAUGAGACCACAGCCCUAGCCUACAUAUUAAUUAUAGCCUGGUCACAGCACCCAGCUAGGCCAUACCCAGACACUUAACCUACAGAAACUGAGAUCACAAGUGUUUGCUAUUUUCAACUGCUACAUUUUGGAGUAAUUUGUUAUCCAUCUAUAGAUAACUAACACACUGUGUUCAUUGACAAAAUUGGAAGCUGAAUAAAGUAUUAUAUCAAUGUUAAAUUUAUUGAAGUUGGUAAUGUUACUCUGGAUAUGUAACAUUAUAAGAUAAUAUUCUUAUUCUUUGGCAAUAUAUACUGUAUAUUGAUAAAUUAGGUAUAAGGACAUGAUAUUUAAAACUUUCAAAUAUAUAUUAUUUUCUCAAAUGUUAUAUAUUGAGAUAGAUACUUGAGAUAUAUGUAAAUAUAAAUACAUUUAUAUAUAUACAUAGAGAGAAGAGAGAAAGGGGAUGGGAAGAAGGGAGGAGGGGUAAGAGGAAGAGAGACAGCACAAGCACAAAUGAUAAAGCAAGUACAGCAAGCUGUUAAUGAAUAUAUAUAUGAGUGUUCUCUGUACUAUUCUUACAUCUUUCCAUAUAUUUGAAAUUAUUUCUAAAUAGGAUUUUUUUAAAAAACAGGAUAUCACUUUGACAUAUCUUUAACAAGGCAUUUACAAAUAAUAAUUCCAUGCCUUAAAGUUAUCAAUGUAAAAUAACAUGUAACACCCCAUUUUCACCCUUGCUUGAGGUGUAUCUUAUACAAUUUGUUUUUAAUCCUUACACAACAUAAGAGAAACAAAGCUCCAGACAGAAUCUUGUUUCUAUGAAUCUCCUGUGUCUUGCCCAUUUCUUUUCUUCAUCUCUCAGGUGUCUGUUUUGUAAUUGUACUCUUAGGAGCUAGCAUUCUUAGCAACUUUGAGUUAUUCAUUCUAGGCUUUUCUUUUAAUAACAGCUUCAUUAUGAUACAAUUAAAUACCAUAAAAUUU
This 1480-nucleotide long non-coding RNA is filed under the name Callithrix jacchus (white-tufted-ear marmoset). RNAcentral describes it as "lncRNA (ENSCJAG00000075549.1)". Lineage: Eukaryota; Metazoa; Chordata; Mammalia; Primates; Cebidae. The record is from RNAcentral.